RNAcentral lists this long non-coding RNA (761 nucleotides) under Sarcophilus harrisii (Tasmanian devil). RNAcentral's name for it is "lncRNA (ENSSHAG00000026046.1)". The record is from RNAcentral. Lineage: Eukaryota; Metazoa; Chordata; Mammalia; Dasyuromorphia; Dasyuridae.
UGGACUCCAUCUUUGACCACCCUCUUGAGUCUCCUGCCUUCAACACUCCUCUACCUAAGACCAAGGAUUAUCCAGAGAUCCUCCAGAGAACUAGUUCAGACAUUACAUUUUGGCACUCAAUGUGGGGCCCUAGACUUGAGACUCUGAAGGUAAGGACCUACACUCAGCAGUUCAACUGACAUGAUCGGAAGCUCAGUGGAGAAGUCCCUGUGACCCAGAAAUAAGGAAGCCUAAAAAAUAAGACUGGAUUACCAAGCAUCCCUCAUGACACAACAUGAGAGACACCCCAUAAUGGAAGAGAUUUCUGCAUGGCACAGUGCAAACAAAGGACAUUAGAUUUAGAAUCUCAGAACCUGGUUUCAUCAGAUUACAAAUGGGAUCCUUGUCACAAAAAAGCUGCUUUAGCUAAAGUCCUUUGGAAUCUCAGGAACAAAAUGCUCAGUUGCCAGUUAGAGGCUCAGAGGUCAUCACAUUCUCAAGGUGCCCCACACAGGUUCUGUGUUUAUCUCUCAAAAAGAAGAUGUUUUCCAUUUUAUAGGCAAUAUGUUUAUGCUGGCGAUGUGACCCUCAUCACAAGGCUGAUGUUUGUGGAUCUGAACCUUCAGGGACUCCACAGAGGGAUUGCUUUGUCAGUGUUCUCAGCUCAUCCUUUCCAUACAGAUGAAUUUAUAAGAAGCCUGUCACAAGAUCAUUGGGGCCAGCUCAUUUUCUGGGUCUUCCUUCCUGGAAUGAUUUGGGACCUGAGGGUAGUUAGAAAUCAG